This is a long non-coding RNA of Cervus elaphus (red deer), 1270 nucleotides long. RefSeq lists it as uncharacterized. The record is from RefSeq and is a predicted model, not a curated record. NCBI's taxonomy places the organism in Eukaryota, Metazoa, Chordata, Mammalia, Artiodactyla, Cervidae. The transcript is spliced from 3 exons.
GGGACUUUCAAGAGUCUUCUCUGGCACCACAAUUUGAAAGCAUCAGUUAUUCGGCCCUCAGUCUUCUUCAUGGUCCAACUCUCACAUCCAUACAUGACCACUGGAAAACUCUCUGGGGAAAACUUGCUCCAGUUGAGCUGUUGGAGGAGCGUGUCCUCCUCUGUAAAGCCGUGGGUCAGCACAGCCUGGGACCUGCCCACCUGAGCAGGCAGAGGUGCCACCACUCGGACAGUGUGGCCUUGAGCAGCCUGCUCGCCUUAAUGAAGCGAGCUGCCGUGUGGCAGAGGACCAGAACAGGGAGCAGACUCCAGCCAACGGUCAGCAUGGGAGGGUCCGAGACCCGCAAGCCAAGAAGGGUCCAACUGCUGCCAACAGCCUCCAAGUGAGCGUGGCAGCCGGUCCAUCCCCAGCAGAGCCUUCGGAUGACCACAGACCCCGGGUCAGUGCCAGAACUUCAGCCUCUGGGACCACACGAAACAUGUAGCCACCUGCACUCUGCCCACACGCCUGCCCACACAAACCGUGAGAUGAGAUGACCAUGUGCUAAGGCUGGGGUGACCUGUUACAGAGAUAACUGAGACUCUGGCUAAGCUACUGCCACGUCAAGAAUAAGUAAUGCAAUCUUCAGGGAAAAGUGAAUCAACGCUAAGCAUUUUUUUUAACAUGGCUAACUUGAUUCUUCAUAGCAGUAUCUGAUACCAAAGGAGAAUGGAGGGAAUGUUUGUAAAGUAAUGAGGGAAAGAAAAGGUGAGCCUAGAACAGUAAAUCCAGUUAGAUGCUGCUCAACACUGUAAAGAAAUUUUUAAAAAAACUUAUCAAAGUAUACAACUGGUAAUUUUGUUGUAUGCAAACUACACUUCAAUAAAGAUAUUUUUUAAAGAAUUGAAAAAUAAUAAGAAAUGUGUUUGAGGGAAUGUUAAAGGUAAGCUAGGUCAAGAAUGUGAUUUUGUACAGAAGUCAGCAAACAAUCCAGUCCAUCGUCUGUUUUAAGAUCCCCUGGAGAAAGGCAUGACAACCCACUCCAGUAUUCUUGCCUGGAUAAUCUCAUGAACAGGGGAGGCUGGUGAGUUACAGUCCAUGGGGCCGCAAAGAGUCAGACAUGAGUGAGCAAGUAACACUUCCACUUCAUAGGCUGAGAAUAGUUCUUACAUUUUAAGAGGAUUUUAAGAGUCAAACAAUGAUUAAUGUUUCAGGGCAUGUGAAAAUUACAUGAAAUUGAAACCUAAAAAUAAGGUUUCACUAGCACACAGCCACACCCAAUCUUUUACUC